CUAUGCGUACGUGAUGCUAAUUUAUCAUUCAUUGAUACUUCUUUUUUUGCUUUCAUUUUGUUAUUUACUUUUCGAACGUCUCAAUUUUUGAGAACGUACGGAAACACGUAUUAUCUGCUCAAUAUAGUGGAUGAACAUUUCGGAUUACGGUCCCAAAAAUUGAAGAAGUCCAAAAGCGCCUGCAGUCUUUAAUUUCUUGCGAUCUUUGGAGUGGAAAACAAAAGCUUCUACAUUAACAAAUUUGCAGAUUUUCCGAUGAACUCUCCGCGAAGUCUACAUAGACUGCAAACGAUUCGUUGAAACCUUGACCGCUUUUUCUUAUCAACUUUAAUUAAUAAUACUUGCAAACGAAGACGAUGCAUAUGUUUACAUUGAGUUAUACAUUUUAGAGCAAGGUUGGUUGAGAUAAUAUUUCGCGUUUAUGUACACGUUAUACGACGAGCUGAUAAAGAUACAUUUUAUAUAAUGCACUCCCAAAAGCACCGCGAACUAUAUAUUCGCGGAACAAUGUACCUUUAAAAUGAUUGAAAAUCAUUUGAUACAAAUAAACUCUUUCUUUCAAUUAUUAAGUUUUUGAUUCAUCGUAAUCAUUUUGUACGAUAACUGACAGUAAAAUUUUCUUCCAUUGAAUUUUUAAAUGUACGUACAUAAUGUAAGGUACGUACAGUGCAAUUGGGGAUGAAUUUUUAAACCAGGGAUCUUGGAUGUAUCGAAUGACAUUGAUUAUAAUUGUGAUAGGUAUGAUAUCCAUUUAUGUUAUACUUAAAGUUCAGCUACUAGAAACUGCGAACUUCAAAUCAUAAAGCUUUAAUGACGAGAUCAACUUUUCACGGUAUAAGUUCUGCACUGCAGCUGUACCAGUGCAGUCCAGGAGCAGGUAAUUACUCCGGAAUGCUGAAGUCUUAUAAGUUUUACUCCCGGGAUAUAUCCAAAAGAAAUGAACAUGCGAGGAUAUAAAACGGCAGGUAGAUAGAAUUGCUAUUCUAAUUCUACGCCGAACUAAACUCGUUAUUAGAGAGUGCAAUUCUGAAAUCACAGGAAAUCUAAGGUCCCUAUACGUAGGUACAUGAGUAUAUUUAUAACCAGUACUAAGGUAACCCGUGGACUUUCUCUGUGAUCGAUGUCUAUUAAUAGAUCCUAUAGAUCCAUACGAUUAAAACCGGUCAUUACGGUAACAGGAAAAUUGCCAUAUAAUAGUAAUCGAUCGGAUUUGAAUAUUCAUCUGUACGUACGUCGAUUUCCCAUUGAAAUAAACUGAUCAUUUCAAUACCGAUCGAGGGAACUUUUUUGAACUUGUGUAUUCCGACUGGAGUUGUUUCUUUCGUAUUGUUUUUUUCUUUCUCUUAUUUUUGUAUGUGGUGUAAUAAAUUUACAACCCAUUUUACAUUUCACGAAGAAAAUAAAAUUUAACAGCGGCAUGUGAAUCCUAAGACGAUCCGGGCAGGGUGAUUCACCGAGCGUAAAAUAAAACUUAUACGCUUGCAGAAUCGAAAAUGAAUUUCGAUGGACAUUCUUCGAAUCGUAAAUACAUAUUCGUACGACAAUUAUUCUGUGGUUUAGAGCGUAAUGAUACAGAGAUGACGCGGUAAGAUAAUUCUUUAUCAUUAUGUUUUAUUCUCGAUGUCCAUUCGUUUAUUCAUUCGUGUGGCUAUUUUUUCUUAUCUGGGAUUCUUCCGAGGGGAAUUAUAUCCCGGGAGAAGUUCCCCCGUAUAUAAGUAUAACAUAAAACGUACGAGUGGACAUCCAGCAUCUCCAGAGCAUUACGAAAGUGCGAGAGUGAAGUAGAUACUCCAGUGGCUGUUGCUCCUCAACUCUUCACUCUCGAGGAUAUUAAGUUGAAAAUUCAAGUUUAUUAAGUAUAUUCAAAAAUCAUACUCACUACCUGCGCAUUGACUACAAGAACUUUUGGCAAUGUCAUCUGAAAAGUAAAAAAGAAUGACUAGUCUACCAUAAACGCUCUUCUCUUCCCGCUCAUACCCGAACAGUUAUCGACAAAUUCGGCUCAUCGAUAGGACCGAAUACGAGCAAGUGGCAAACGAAAAGUAAAACGAAAAAAAUAAAAAUAUGAAAUCAAUCUUUAUAAUUUUCGCAUUGAUUGGCUGCGCUUUAGCCGCGCCAUGGUUCGAUUUGUUCGUAAGAAACCCUGGAUACAAUAGCGGAUCGGGUCACCGACCAAGACAAAAUCGUCAAGGAAAAGGAGGAGGUGAACGUUGGAAGGAAAUUUGCAGGACAAUCACGCCGGAUAAUUAUGCUUUUCCAGGACAAACAGGAGCCAUUUGCCCCUGGUGAUGGUAUAGUUUGGACUCAUUCUACUAUUGUGUGCCUGUGAAUUAAGUGCAUAAUUUUAAGAAAUUGUGAAGAUUGCAUGGAUCUUAGGUGAAAAAAUUUCUCAUUUUAUUAUAACAAUUUCAUAUAAUUAUAAUGAAUAUAGGAAUAUGUUAUUGAGUAUGUUUCUUGUAAAGCUGUGUACAUUAGUUAUAAAUACAUGAAUUUAUGUACAGUUAUCUCUAAUCUGUACCGUACCAUGUGUAUAUUUAAAAAAAAAUGAAAAAAAAAUGCCAUAAAUAAGUAUUUAUUCUA
Long non-coding RNA from Athalia rosae (coleseed sawfly), 2580 nucleotides. RefSeq lists it as uncharacterized. NCBI's taxonomy places the organism in Eukaryota, Metazoa, Arthropoda, Insecta, Hymenoptera, Athaliidae. The record is from RefSeq and is a predicted model, not a curated record. The transcript has 2 exons.